UCACAAAAGAGAAAAAAUUGAAGUGCAGUUCACAGAAUUUGUAUUCCACCGGACAAUAAAUUUUCCAUUUGUAAUAUUAGACCGUUGGAUUGUGCUUAAAUUUGGCGAGCUUGGUGUAUAUUACCAUUACUAGACCUAAUAUUGCUUAUAUUGUGCAUGUAAUUAGUCAGUUUAUUGCUUCUUCUACUACAAUUCAUUGGGCCAUUGUUCUUUGUAUCCUUGGCUAUCUAUCUUUUGGGCACUCAACUUCAAAGCUUUCUGUUUUUCUCAUCUUCCUUGGAAUUGCGUGCUUAUACUAAUGUAGAUUGGGGGUGUUGAUUCCAUUCAUCCUAAGUCUACCACAAAGCUUUGCAUGCUUUGGGAGGAUUAUCUUAUUUAUGGCAAGAGUAAGAAGCAAAUAAUUAUAUUUAGAUCUUUUAAAGUUGAGUACUGAAUCAUGACAUCUAUUAUUGUAAAAAUAAUUUUGAUAAGAUGAUUAUUUGAAUAUACGAAUGUUUCACUCUUUACACUAAUUCAUAUGUAUUGUGAUAAUAUAAGUGUCAUACAAAUCACCCGUAUGCAUACACAAAACAUAUUGAGAUUAAUUGUUAAAUUACUUUCUUUAAA
RNAcentral lists this long non-coding RNA (606 nucleotides) under Glycine max (soybean). Its description in RNAcentral is "long non-coding RNA (GMAX_LNC000429)". The record is from RNAcentral. Lineage: Eukaryota; Viridiplantae; Streptophyta; Magnoliopsida; Fabales; Fabaceae.